Long non-coding RNA from Cyprinus carpio carpio, 5301 nucleotides. Lineage: Eukaryota; Metazoa; Chordata; Actinopteri; Cypriniformes; Cyprinidae. The record is from Ensembl.
AAUCACUCAACUCGCAACUGUUGCAAGGACCCAACUUGAAUAAUUCUCUUAUUGGUGUUCUGGUGAGAUUCAGACAUAAGCCGAUUGCCCUUGCAGCAGACGUAGAAGGGAUGUUUCAUCAGGUCAGAGUUCCUGCUAAAGAUAAAGAUCUGUUAAGAUUCCUUUGGUGGCCUAAAGGGGACACUGCACAGGAAGUGGAGGAAUACAGAAUGAGUGUCCACUUAUUUGGUGCUACAUCCUCCCCAAGUUGUGCAAUCUACGCUUUGCAAAGGUGUGCAAAGGACAACAGUGCACAGCAUAGAUCAGAGGUAAUUCAGACAGUCCUUAGGAAUUUCUAUGUGGAUGAUUGUUUGUCGUCUGUGGCUACUGAACAGCAGGGUAUUGCUCUAAUGCAUGACUUAAGGGAGAUGUGUGCAUCAGGAGGAUUUAAUUUGACCAAGUGGAUGUCCAACAGUCGCACUGUACUUGCAUCCAUAAGUGAGGAGAGCAAAGCUAAGACAGUUAAGGAUUUGGACCUGGAGAAAGACAAGUUACCAUUGGAAAGAGCUCUAGGGGUUCAGUGGUGUGUUGAGACAGACACUUUGCAGUUCAAAGUAACCCUACAGGAAAAGCCUCUUACAAGGAGAGGUAUAUUGUCCAUGGUCAGCUCCAUUUAUGAUCCCCUUGGAAUACUUUCUCCAGUUAUUCUUCCUGCAAAGCAAAUACUGCAGGAGCUUUGUAGAACAAAACAUGACUGGGAUGACAAGAUUCCAGAAACUCUCAGACAUCAGUGGAAUCUGUGGCUGGCUAGUCUUCAGAACUUGAAUGACUUUCAGGUUGAAAGAUGCAUGAAGCCACUUAACUUUGGUGAAAUCACCUCAGCGCAGCUGCAUCACUUUUGCAGAUGCCAGUGAGCUGGGUUUUGGCACAGUGUCAUACUUGCUCAUGGAGAAUCACAGAGGUAACCAACAUUGUGCAUUUGUUAUGGGUAAAGCAAGGGUUGCUCCAGUAAAAACAGUUACCGUGCCACGUCUUGAGCUUACUGCAGCUACAAUGGCUGCUAGAAUGGACAAUAUGCUGAAAUCUGAAUUGGACUUGAUUCUUCAGGAGUCUGUAUUUUGGACAGACAGUACUUCAGUCCUGAAAUAUCUCAACAACGAAAGCACGCGGUUCCGUACAUUUGUGACCAACAGGGUAACUGCAAUCAGAGAGCUCUCAAAGGCGUCGCAAUGGAGGUAUGUGAAUUCUGAACUUCAAAACUUCAAAUCUUCGCUGUCAGGGGUUACAUUGACUGUAAGUGACCUUGAAAAAGCUGAGGAAGAGAUCAUUCGCUACAGCCAAACAAUCAUGUUUCCAGAGGAAAUCAAAGCCCUCCAGCAAGGUAAAACUGUAAAACACAGCAGCGCUCUCUACAAGUUGUCACCAGUUUUGCAAGACAAAAUUCUAAGAGUAGGUGGCAGACUAAGCAGGUCAUCUAUGCCUGAGGAGGCCAAGCAUCCUGCUAUUUUAGCAAAGGACCAUCCUGUUUCACAUCUGAUCUUAAGAUCAAUUCAUGCAGAUGUGGGUCACAGCGGCCGUAAUCACAUGUUGUCAAAGUUACGGGAAAAAUACUGGAUUCCAAAAGCACAAACGGCCAUCAGAAAAAUCCUAUCUCAAUGCACAAUUUGUAAACGCCAGCGCGGCACUACAGGCAAACAAUUCAUGGCUGACCUUCCCCGUGACAGGCUUUUGCCAGAUGAACCCCCAUUCACAAAUGUAGGCAUUGAUUAUUUUGGCCCAUUUGAAAUCAAAAGAGGAAGGACAUUGAUUAAAAGAUAUGGGGUAAUCUUUACUUGCCUGACGUUAAGAGCUGUUCACAUUGAGGUUGCCAGCUCUUUGGACACAGACUCGUGCAUUCAUGCACUAAGGAGAUUUGUUUCUAGAAGGGGUCAGGUUAAAACAAUCAGGUCUGACAAUGGGACAAAUUUCAUUGGGGCAGAAAGGGAGUUGCAAAAGGCCAUACAAAGUUUAAAUAAUGACAGGAUUCAAACCACAAUGCUUGCAAAAGGUGUACAGUGGAUUUUCAAUGCUCCAACUGCAUCCCACCAUGGAGGAGUGUGGGAACGUCAAAUACGGACUGUCAGAAAAAUUCUCAACUCCAUUGUAAAACAGCAGUCUCUUGAUGAAGAAAGUCUUCAAACGCUCUUAUGUGAGGUGGAAGCAAUAAUCAAUAGUCGUCCCAUCACUAAGGUGUCCAAUGACCCAAACGAUUUGGAGGCCCUUACUCCAAAUCAUUUGCUGCUGUUGAAAGUAAAGCCGCCCAUGUCUCCUGGGGUUUUUGACAAAGCAGACCUGUAUUCCAGACGUAGGUGGCGCCAAGUUCAGUAUAUGGCUGACAUAUUUUGGAAGCGCUGGAUCAAAGAAUACUUACCAGACCUGCAAGAAAGACAAAAAGUGGCAAAAGCCUAGUACAAAAAUCUCAAGCCUGGGGACGUUGUAUUGGUUGCUGAUGAUUCCGCACCACGAAACUCUUGGGUAAUGGGACGUGUGCUACAAACAUUCACAGACAACAAAGGUCUUGUGCGGCAGGCCCGAGUGAAAACAAGCACAAACAUUCUUUUACGUCCUGUUACUAAGCUUUGUUUACUUUUAGAGGCAGAUUUAUAGUCUCCUAUCUGUUAUGGGUUUAUCACCUAAAUUCAGGUUAGCAUCUUAUUGAGAAAAAAUUCGGAGAUUCAGUUGAAACUAUUUGGUAUCUUUCUUUUAUGUAAUUUGUUUGGCUCUUUAGUAUAAAUAGGUUGUUAAUUGUUUCGUUGAACACAAAGACAAUUAGGGGCUGGUGUGUAAGAGCCAAUUUUACGUUUCAAUAAUUUGUAUGGUAUUGUUUCUUGGAGUGUUAAUUUCAAGCAUAAACUGAAUAUAUCAUAUUUGUAUCUUUCUUUCUGAGGUAGUUCUGUUUUUUCCUGUAUUUAUUUUAUAUAUAUUUAUAUAUAUAUUUUCAGUACUGUUUCCUAUGUUUUCUGAUGUACAGGCUAAUUUCUGUUCUGUUUCUUUAAUGGUUACGCCCACUUGGGCGGAAGAUUGAACUGGGUAGUUGUUCGUGUAUAGGAAAUAAGGGAGAAACAGUUUUCUUACCGUUUUUCGUCUGUCAUUAAAAAAAAUAACUCUUGUUUAAACGUUCAAGGUAACAGCAGUUAAAGGUUUAACAGGUGAAACCAUAGGAAAGGCUACAGGAGCCAUCAGGAUUUUGUAUAGUUUUCUAAUUUUGUGUUUGGAUUAAACUUUUUUGAUUGACUUCUGUGACGAGUAAGAAGCUUUUUUCCUGUUCCAGUGAAGUUAACAUAGGACUUUGCACCUACAGCCAUUAUCAAUAUUAAUGAGUCUUCUGUCACCUGAGUGAUAGUUCAUACUUUUUUUUUUCCUCGGUUUGUUUGUUUUUUAGCAGGUAAAAGGUAUUUUAUAUAUAGAUAAUAAGUCCCCCUUUCAGCUUUUUCACAUGUGUUUUUGCUGUCAAAUCUUUACUUAUUUUUUAUGAAGUAAAUUUAAGUGUCACUAAUAUUUCCAUAAAAACUAAGCAUUUAAAUACCAUAUUACUAAGAAAUAUUAUUGGGAGAAAUAGAAUGACGACAUAUAUUUAUAUGCAUUUUAUGUAAGUAGUCAUUUAUUAACAUUACAAGCUCAGAAUUUCAUCUUACAUUUUGGUCAUAUGAAUAAUAGCAUGUUUUUGCUUAUUUUGGGCCUCACUGAGGAGUUUUUUGACAAUAUGAGCUCCAUAUUAUCAUUAUAUGAUAAUAUAUGGGCCAUAAAAGCCUGGUGCAUUAAAUAUGAUACUCAAUGAAAAACACACAAGCACACUUUUUAUUUUAUUUUUUUAUUUAUUUAUUUUUAUUUUUAUUUUUUUUAACUUAAAGCUUCAAUGAAUUGUUCAAUUUAAAUAAAUAAAUACAAAUUCUGACUAUCAUUUCAUAUGACAGGCUUUAUUUAUUUAGAGAAGCUCACAGAGUUAAUAUCCACACAUAUAUUCCAUAAUACUCUAAAAAGGAUAAAAAUUAUAAAUUAUAUUACAGUUAUAACACAUUGUUACAAGUAUAACACGUUUUAUAACCUCCUACCUUGUCCACAAUUUUGGAUGAAAAAACUCACAAGUUUGGGAUACAAUACAUACAAUGCUGUUUCAAAAUUUGGCAAAAACAAAACAUCUUUGAAGACAGCUCCUUUGAACAGCCGUCACAUCAAAAUGCCUUAAACGCACCCUACGCAGGAAGCUCACUAGCUUUUGUAACAACGUUUAUAGGUAUCUUUCAUCUGCAUCGACAAAUGGGAUUUUCUGCAGUCGAUCUCUUCUCUGACAUCUCCAUUUUUUUAGAAAGUACACAUAAGGUGAUUUAUUCAGUAGCAUUAUGAAAAGCUUCAGUGCUUUACGCUUCAAUCUCAGCACGACCUCAAUGAACCGACUGACUUUUUCUCUUAUAGUUCAUGAAGUGUAUUUGAUUGUGUGACAACCCCACACGCCGAGCCCAUCAUCCUGCUGAUCACACCACAGAAAGAACACAGGCCUCAUUUCCUGUGAGUAAUGAAUCAUGGGAUAUGCUGACAGAGUGACAUGUGGCAUCUAAAAGGCUCUGGCUGUGAUUUUAAGCCUGGGUGAGAAACAACAGCGUGAGAUGACAGAGUUAGGUGCUACAUAUGUUAAUGUACGGUCAGAAAGAUGAGUACUCAUUUGCCAUUGAGAAUGUAGAUGCAGAACAUGUCAGUCGCCACCAACCUAAACACCAUCCACACGCUGCCCUUUUGGAGGUGAGAGAACGAGUCGGUGGCUGGUGGGAUAUGAAACAGGAUUUGAACGUGUUUGGUCGGGUGUAAAUACAGGCUUUGCUGUUCGUGUUCACACAAUUUCAUCUCGGUCAUACACUCGGUGACUAGUCCAGUCAAAAGCAGUUGGGUUGAGCCUGUCAGGAUUGAGUUUAAGAAGAGGGAAAGAAAUAGUAGGCUUUCUUUGAGAACAAUUCCAGCCACAAAAGCCAUUCACACAGGAUAUGGGAUGUCAAAUUUGAUUUCAGUGAAGAAUAGCUGCAAGUUUCAUGAGCAAAAGCCCCAACAAGUGUGCCAUUUGAGACAGCUUCAAAAAGGCAGCCAGAUAUACACUAGUUGUAAUAAUUAGAAUGGUGUUGAUACGUCUCGUCUGCUCACCAAGGCUGCAUUUGAUUGAAAAUACAGUAAAAAGAUUAUAUAUAUAUCAUUUAUUCCUGAGAUGCAAAGCUGAAUUUUCUCCAAUUACUCCAAUCACAUGAUCCUUAAGAAAUUCUAAUAUGCUAGAAAUCUUUUGUUACAAUGUAUAGUGCC